RNAcentral lists this ribosomal RNA (468 nucleotides) under Streptococcus anginosus. Its description in RNAcentral is "bacterial SSU rRNA". It matches the Rfam family "Bacterial small subunit ribosomal RNA", at positions 54 to 496 of the family's 1533-position model. The record is from RNAcentral. Lineage: Bacteria; Bacillati; Bacillota; Bacilli; Lactobacillales; Streptococcaceae.
CAUGCAAGUAGGACGCACAGUUUAUACCGUAGCUUGCUACACCAUAGACUGUGAGUUGCGAACGGGUGAGUAACGCGUAGGUAACCUGCCUAUUAGAGGGGGAUAACUAUUGGAAACGAUAGCUAAUACCGCAUAACAGUAUGUAACACAUGUUAGAUGCUUGAAAGAUGCAAUUGCAUCGCUAGUAGAUGGACCUGCGUUGUAUUAGCUAGUAGGUAGGGUAAUGGCCUACCUAGGCGACGAUACAUAGCCGACCUGAGAGGGUGAUCGGCCACACUGGGACUGAGACACGGCCCAGACUCCUACGGGAGGCAGCAGUAGGGAAUCUUCGGCAAUGGGGGGAACCCUGACCGAGCAACGCCGCGUGAGUGAAGAAGGUUUUCGGAUCGUAAAGCUCUGUUGUUAAGGAAGAACGAGUGUGAAAAUGGAAAGUUCAUACUGUGACGGUACUUAACCAGAAAGGGACGG